AUUGAACGCUGGCGGCAGGCCUAACACAUGCAAGUCGAACGGUAACAGGAAGAAGCUUGCUUCUUUGCUGACGAGUGGCGGACGGGUGAGUAAUGUCUGGGAAACUGCCUGAUGGAGGGGGAUAACUACUGGAAACGGUAGCUACUACCGCAUAACGUCGCAAGACCAAGAGGGGGACCUUCGGGCCUCUUGCCAUCGGAUGUGCCCAGAUGGGAUUAGCUAGUAGGUGGGGUAACGGCUCACCUAGGCGACGAUCCCUAGCUGGUCUGAGAGGAUGACCAGCCACACUGGAACUGAGACACGGUCCAGACUCCUACGGGAGGCAGCAGUGGGGAAUAUUGCACAAUGGGCGCAAGCCUGAUGCAGCCAUGCCGCGUGUAUGAAGAAGGCCUUCGGGUUGUAAAGUACUUUCAGCGGGGAGGAAGGGAGUAAAGUUAAUACCCUUGCUCAUUGACGUUACCCGCAGAAGAAGCACCGGCUAACUCCGU
RNAcentral lists this ribosomal RNA (488 nucleotides) under uncultured bacterium. RNAcentral describes it as "partial 16S ribosomal RNA". It matches the Rfam family "Bacterial small subunit ribosomal RNA", at positions 30 to 506 of the family's 1533-position model. The record is from RNAcentral.